RNAcentral lists this transfer RNA (71 nucleotides) under Phrynosoma platyrhinos (Desert horned lizard). Its description in RNAcentral is "tRNA-OTHER". The record is from RNAcentral. Lineage: Eukaryota; Metazoa; Chordata; Lepidosauria; Squamata; Phrynosomatidae.
GCCUGCAUGGCCUAGUGGUUUGAGCUCUGGACUGCAACUCUGGAGACCAGGGUUUGAUUCCCGCUUGGCCA